CCUACGGGUGGCAGCAGUGAGGAAUAUUGGUCAAUGGGCGCGAGCCUGAACCAGCCAAGUAGCGUGAAUGAUGACUGCCCUACGGGUUGUAAACUUCUUUUAUAAAGGAAUAAAGUGAGGCACUUGUGCCUUUUUGUAUGUACUUUAUGAAUAAGGAUCGGCUAACUCCGUUCCAGCAGCCGCGGUAAUACGGAGGAUCCGAGCGUUAUCCGGAUUUAUUGGGUUUAAAGGGAGCGUAGAUGGGUUGGUAAGUCAGUUGUGAAAGUUUGCGGCUCAACCGUAAAAUUGCAAUUGAUACUGGCAGGCUUGAGUACAGUUGAGGUAGGCGGAAUUCGUGGUGUAGCGGUGAAAUGCGUAGAUAUCACGAAGAACUCCGAUUGCGAAGGCAGCUUACUAAACUGCAACUGACAUUGAUGCUCGAAAGUGUGGGUAUCAAACAGGAUUAGAUACCCGGGUAGUC
This 460-nucleotide ribosomal RNA is filed under the name uncultured bacterium. Its description in RNAcentral is "partial 16S ribosomal RNA". It matches the Rfam family "Bacterial small subunit ribosomal RNA", at positions 338 to 795 of the family's 1533-position model. The record is from RNAcentral.